UUUCAAGAUUCUAAGAGCAAACGGUGGAUGCCUUGGCAUCUGGAGCCGAAGAAGGACGUAUAAAUCUGCGAUAAGCCUCGGGGAGCUGAUAAUAGAGCUUUGAUCCGAGGAUCUCCGAAUGGGGAAACCCCGCCAGGCCCUUUGGGUGACCUGGUGACUCCCGCCUGAAUAUAUAGGGCGGGUAGAGGGAACGUGGGGAAGUGAAACAUCUCAGUACCCACAGGAAGAGAAAGCAAAAGCGAUUCCGUUAGUAGUGGCGAGCGAAACCGGAAGAGGCCAAACCGAUCAUGUGUGAUAUCCGGUAGGAGUUGCAUGGUCGGGGUUGCGGGACUUUCCGUACAGUUCUACCGAGCUGUGAGGGCAAUGAGCGCGAUAUAGACGAAUGGUCUUGAAAGGCCAGUCAUAGAGGGUGCGAACCCCGUAGUCGAAAUGUCGUCGCCUGUCCGGAGAGUAUCCCAAGUAGCACGGGGCCCGAGAAAUCCCGUGUGAAUCUGUCAGGACCACCUGAUAAGCCUAAAUACUCCCAGAUGACCGAUAGCGGACAAGUACCGUGAGGGAAAGGUGAAAAGUACCCCGGGAGGGGAGUGAAAUAGUACCUGAAACCGUUUGCUUACAAACCGUUGGAGC
This 627-nucleotide ribosomal RNA is filed under the name Clavibacter michiganensis. RNAcentral's name for it is "partial 23S ribosomal RNA". It matches the Rfam family "Bacterial large subunit ribosomal RNA", at positions 1 to 580 of the family's 2925-position model. The record is from RNAcentral. Lineage: Bacteria; Bacillati; Actinomycetota; Actinomycetes; Micrococcales; Microbacteriaceae.